AGCAGUCGCCGCGGGAAUACGUAGGUGGCAAGCGUUGUCCGGAAUUAUUGGGCGUAAAGGGCUCGCAGGCGGUUUCUUAAGUCUGAUGUGAAAGCCCCCGGCUCAACCGGGGAGGGUCAUUGGAAACUGGGAAACUUGGGUGCAGAAGAGGAGAGUGGAAUUCCACGUGUAGCGGUGAAGUGCGUAGAGAUGUGGAGGAACACCAGUGGCGAAGGCGACUCUCUGGUCUGUAACUGACGCUGAGGAGCGAAAGCGUGGGGAGCGAACAGGAUUAGAUACCCCGGUAGUCCCUGUCUCUUAUAC
Molecule: ribosomal RNA, 303 nt
Filed under: uncultured bacterium
Lineage: Bacteria
Description: partial 16S ribosomal RNA
Rfam family: Bacterial small subunit ribosomal RNA
Source: RNAcentral